RNAcentral lists this ribosomal RNA (495 nucleotides) under uncultured bacterium. RNAcentral's name for it is "partial 16S ribosomal RNA". It matches the Rfam family "Bacterial small subunit ribosomal RNA", at positions 29 to 506 of the family's 1533-position model. The record is from RNAcentral.
AUGAACGCUGGCGGCGUGCCUAAUACAUGCCCGUCGAGCGCACGGACGAGAAGCUUGCUUCUCUGAUGUUAGCGGCGGACGGGUGAGUAACACGUGGAUAACCUACCUAUAAGACUGGGAUAACUUCGGGAAACCGGAGCUAAUACCGGAUAAUAUUUUGAACCGCAUGGUUCAAAAGUGAAAGACGGUCUUGCUGUCACUUAUAGAUGGAUCCGCGCUGCAUUAGCUAGUUGGUAAGGUAACGGCUUACCAAGGCAACGAUGCAUAGCCGACCUGAGAGGGUGAUCGGCCACACAGGAGCUGAGACACGGUCCAGACUCCUACGGGAGGCAGCAGGAGGGAAUCUUCCGCAAUGGGCGAAAGCCUGACGGAGCAACGCCGCGUGAGUGAUGAAGGUCUUCGGAUCGUAAAACUCUGUUAUUAGGGAAGAACAUAUGUGUAAGUAACUGUGCACAUCUUGACGGUACCUAAUCAGAAAGCCACGGCUAACUACGU